AAAAUCAUGAAUUCCCAUCCGCGAUCCUCCAAGAUUAGAUAAUAUUUCCUGUUGUGAUGUGCUGUUGGAAUCGGAGUCUCCAACUGGUGGGAUAUUGAUGCAGCUGUUUUGCUGUUGCGAAGUACUGGUCAACAUAUCUGAAUAUGUCCCAGAAGAAGAAUAGUUCACAAACACCAUCAUGUUUUCUUGAGCAUUUGAAGCUUCUGAAUAAGAACCAGGCAAAGAUUGCCUAAAAUAUUGAAAUGUCUCAGCUUCUCUUUGAUUGUUUGGAUUAGGAAAAUAAGUUGCCUGAUGCAGCUGUUUUGCUGUUGGGAAGUACCAGUCAACAUAUCUGAAUAUGUCCCAGAAGAAGAGUAGUUCAUGAACACCAUCAUGUUUUCUUGAGCAUUUGAAGCUUCUGAAUAAGAACCAGGCAAAGAUUGCCUAAAAUUUUGAAAUGUCUCAGCUUCUCUUUGAUUGUUUGGAUUAGGAAAAUAAGUUGCCAUCCUUGGAUUUCUCACUACUUCUCCCUUUUUUAGUUCUUAGAUGAUUAAAUUUUGUGUUUCAAAUUCAUAAAGGUUGAUUAUCCAAUCACAG
This 576-nucleotide long non-coding RNA is filed under the name Nicotiana benthamiana. Its description in RNAcentral is "long non-coding RNA (NBEN_LNC025078)". The record is from RNAcentral. Lineage: Eukaryota; Viridiplantae; Streptophyta; Magnoliopsida; Solanales; Solanaceae.